AGCGGUAGCAGUGGGUGCUUGCACCUAGCUGACGAGCGGCGGACGGGUGAGUAACGCGUAGGAACCAACCCAGUAGUUUGGGAUAGCCCAGAGAAAUUUGGAUUAAUACCGGAUACCUUCUACGGAAGAAAGCAGGGGCUCUUCGGACCUUGCGCUAUUGGCUGGGCCUGCGUGAGAUUAGCUAGUUGGUGGGGUAAAGGCCUACCAAGGCGACGAUCUCUAGCUGUUCUGAGAGGAUGAUCAGCCACACUGGGACUGAGACACGGCCCAGACUCCUACGGGAGGCAGCAGUGGGGAAUAUUGCACAAUGGGCGGAAGCCUGAUGCAGCCAUGCCGCGUGUGUGAAGAAGGCCUUCGGGUUGUAAAGCACUUUCAGUUGUGAGGAAAGGGUUAUGGUUAAUAUCCAUGAUCUGUGACGUUAGCAACAGAAGCAGCACCGGCUAACUCCGUGCCAGCAGCCGCGGUAAUACGGAGGGUGCGAGCGUUAAUCGGAAUUACUGGGCGUAAAGCGCGCGUAGGCGGUUAAUUAAGCUGGAUGUGAAAGCCCAGGGCUCAACCUUGGACGUGCAUCCAGAACUGGUUGGCUAGAGUACGGUAGAGGUGAGUGGAAUUUCCUGUGUAGCGGUGAAAUGCGUAGAGAUGGGAAGGAACAUCAGUGGCGAAGGCGACUCACUGGGCUGAUACUGACGCUGAGGUGCGAAAGCGUGGGUAGCGAACAGGAUUAGAUACCCUGGUAGUCCACGCUGUAAACGAUGUCUAUUAGCCGUUGGUUUCC
RNAcentral lists this ribosomal RNA (775 nucleotides) under uncultured Gammaproteobacteria bacterium. Its description in RNAcentral is "bacterial SSU rRNA". It matches the Rfam family "Bacterial small subunit ribosomal RNA", at positions 65 to 831 of the family's 1533-position model. Lineage: Bacteria; Pseudomonadati; Pseudomonadota; Gammaproteobacteria. The record is from RNAcentral.